UUGCAAGAAUGGCUUCCUGUUUCAUCUCUGUCCCUGCUCUGUGAGAGAUGAAACCUUACUGCUGUGCGUAAUACACAAACUAAACACGCAGAACCGGACAUAGAGGGUUCGAGGGCGGCGCAGCGGUGCCCGAGGGCUCGCCAUGCUGCUGUCUCAGCUGCCAGAGGAUCUUCUCUAUUAUAUCUUAUCUUAUUUGGACUACAGAUCUCUCAGUCGCCUCUCUCAAGUUUGUAGAAGCUUUUACCGCUUUGUAAACCGGGACGCUGUUUGGAAGAAGAUUGCUAAAGAUCUUUUAAACACCGGCAUUACUCGGGAGGGGAAGGACAUAUAUCCUCUCAUACGCCUCAAGGACAGAGUGAAGAUUGCUCAAAACUGGUACAGCGGGAUCUGCAGAAGAAGAAUUCCUCUGAGAUGGAAAACUAAACUGUUACCAUGGUUACAGCUGGACGGGGACACCCUUUUUCUGUCUCAGGCUGCUGAUAUAAAAGUGUACCAUAUCCACAAAGACUCGGGGAGACUCCAGCGUAGUCCAUAUGAAGUCUACUCGGGCCACAAGGGUGACGUCUGUCGCUUUGUUCUCACGGAUUCUCUCCUGAUCAGCGGUGGAAGUGAUGGGAAGAUCGUCGUCCACAGCAGGAGAAGUGAUGUGCCAGUGGAGUUUUCAGGUCAUAACCAGGAGGUCAACUGUGUGGAUGCUAAAGACGGACUCAUCAUCAGUGGCUCCAGAGACCGGACAGCCCGGAUUUGGAAUUUGACUUCCACCGCUCCCAGAGAUACAAUUCCCAUGUGUGACAGAGUGUGGUCCGUGGCUAUUAAUCCCACACUGAGCUCCUUCGUCACAGGCACUGCAUGCUGCGAGAACUUCUCCCCUCUCCGCAUCUGGGAUGUUGAGCGAUCUACAGAUUUGGGAUUAGCUACAGGCUCCUCCACCCCUGCUGGCUCUUCUGUCCUGCCCAGGAUGGCGCCCCCGGUGCCCCCUCGUCAGGUCCAGCAGUCCUACCGUCCAUCCAACAGCUCCUUCUCCCCUCUUACAGCCUCUAUGGGAGCUCCAUCUGUGGUGGCUACAGCCUGGGAGUAUACAGACACACACCUCACCUUGAAGACGUCCCCCCCAGCAGACACUAACUGGGCGAGCGAGGAGGACGACCACGUGGUGGCCAGAGGAGAAUAUGACUUGACAGCUGCUUCUCAGGAGGAGCUUUCUAUGCGAGCUGGAGAGAUGCUCAACCUCGCUCCUAAAGAGCUACAGCCCCGUGUGCGUGGCUGGCUCCUGGCCAGUGUGGACGGUGAGACCACAGGCUCGUCCCAGCCAACUACGUUAAGAUCCUCAGCAAGAGAAGAGACCGCCGGGCCACAGAUAUGAGAGGCUCGCUCAGGCCCAGCAGGCAAACACGCAGGCACCCCAAACAACCUCGUCUGCACAAAUACCCUAAUCUGUGCCUCUCCUGCAGCCCAUAAAUGUACAGCAUCUACCCACAUCAUGUACAGUACUUGAAUGAUCCAGCUCGUCUUUCAGCUCAGUCUCGUCAGAUUCAUUAGGCUCAGCUGUGUCCCCCUCCUGUGUUAUUAUUCAGUCUGUACAUCGAAUAGAAGGCACUAACCACAAGGUGAUCUUCAAUGCAUCUCUGUGUUAAUGCGAACAAGCUCUGGGGGAUCAUCAAACAGGGGUACAAAUGCAAAGACUGUGGUGUUAACUGUCAUAAACAAUGCCGUGAGCUGCUGGUUCUGGCCUGUAGGAAGCUGAUUGGCUCUGGCUCUCUGGGCAGUGUUUCUCCAGCUCACUGCCCAGCAGCCUGUCAAGAUGAGGACGAGGUGUUUGAGUUCCCCGCUGUCACACCAGCAGUUCCAGCUCUCGACACUCAGUCCAUCACCCUGAUGACGGGCUCAGCCCAGAGAAUCUCUGUGCGCCUGCAGAGAGCCACCACAAGCCAGGCUACGCAGACUGAACCACUGUGGCCUGAACAUGGCUGGGAGGUGGCAGACGGUGGUGCCCACACCUUCCCCAAAAUGAAAUACAUGACUCACAGGAAAAUGUCUAAAAAUAAGGGUUUCGUCUGCUGGGAAAACCAGAGUGGCAGGCAGUACCAGGCAGGUUCUGCACCGCACUGCACUGGAAGGAGUGUAGACUCCCAGGAGAAGCCAGACGUCUCUGUAGAGCAUGUACAGAACAGGGUUACGCACAGAGCAAAGAACAGCUGACUUGGUUACAGUGGCGAGAACCGCUUGUGGAGAUCCAGAAAGCCCCUAGUCGCUAAGACCAGGAGCUUCUUCUCUCAGGGGGAUAUUCUUGGCUUUCUGAGGUCCCCCUUCAAAAACAUGGAGUCAUCAUGUCCUCUCUAGACUUCAGCACAAUACAGACAGAGCGACAUGGAGCUGAAGUCAGGGAGAAGAGCUCUAUAACAUACAGUGUGUUAGCUCCGGGCAGAAAGACACAAAGAUGAAGGUUUUUCCUUAUGGAUUGUUGGCCAGUUGCUUUACAUCGUCAAGCUUUCAAAUGGAGCUCAGGAAGAAUGUGAACAGAAAUGAUCUGGUGUUGGAUUUUAAUAAAGAGAUGCAACAUCAAGGUCCUGAUGUCACAUGAUCAUAGCAAGGGGAAUUUUUUGGAUGCUUGUAUGUGUAGGUGGAAAUAAAAGGAAACAGAACCUGAAUGUAAAGGGAAACCAACAGAACAUCUAGCACAAAGACUCAUGAAAUAGCAUUUCUAUAGUGACAGCUGCAGAGCGGGCCACCUUCAUUUUAUCUUGCAGGGUUUUUUCAGCAAAAAAAUGCUGCAGACAACCUCAAUCAUUCUGUUGUGAUCUCUCUCUCCCAUCAUUGAUCUUUUAUCAAUGAUGAUAAAAACACUUUUUACAAAUGCUGUACACCAUCAAGUGUGGAAGGUUUGACAAGUAUGCGUUGAGAUUUGUGUUUUCCU
Pelmatolapia mariae (spotted tilapia) is the source of this 2914-nucleotide RNA transcript. It is a transcript of the gene named F-box and WD repeat domain containing 4, with no coding region annotated. The record is from RefSeq and is a predicted model, not a curated record. NCBI's taxonomy places the organism in Eukaryota, Metazoa, Chordata, Actinopteri, Cichliformes, Cichlidae. The transcript is spliced from 13 exons.